UGGGGGAUAUUGCACAAUGGGCGAAAGCCUGAUGCAGCGACGCCGCGUGGGGGAUGAAGGCUUUCGGGUUGUAAACCUCUUUCGCUAUCGAACAAGGCCAGCUUAGGGUGGGUUGAGGGUAGGUGGAGAAGAAGCGCCGGCUAACUACGUGCCAGCAGCCGCGGUAAUACGGAGGGCGCGAGCGUUGUCCGGAAUUAUUGGGCGUAAAGGGGUUGUAGGCGGCUUGUUGCGCCUGCUGUGGAAACGCGGGGCUUAACUUCGGGCGUGCAGUGGGUACGGGCAGGGUUGAGGAGGGUAGGGGUGGCUGGAAUUCCAGGUGGUGCGGUGGAAUGCUCAGAUGUCUGGGGGAGCACCGAUGGCGAAGGCGGGUCACUGGGCCAUUACUGACGCUGAGGAGCGAAAGCAUGGGUAGCGAACAGG
This 420-nucleotide ribosomal RNA is filed under the name bacterium. Its description in RNAcentral is "partial 16S ribosomal RNA". It matches the Rfam family "Bacterial small subunit ribosomal RNA", at positions 355 to 776 of the family's 1533-position model. The record is from RNAcentral.